AUUCCUUAUCAUCACACACGUUUUUUAAAAACUGCGGACAGGCCGAAAGAGGAGGAGCCGCCACAAAGCCCGCCACGUCUUCCUAAAUUGGUUUACCGCCUGAAGGCAUUGGUGCCCCAUCCCGGGUACUUAAAUGGGGGCCUGCCCUCUACUCCCCUCCCUCCAAAGUGUGGAGCCGGAAGCCACUUCUCCAUCCAGCUGUGAACUAAAUUUGGAUAAUAAUACACAUCCCUCAGGGUUGAUGUGAAGUUUAAAGUGCCGCUACUGGGGAUUAUGGAGGUAAUUAGAGACCCCCACCCCCACCCCCCAGUCCUCAGGCUGCGCGGGAAUCGCAGCGGCAGUAACCUCCACCUCACCGGGAUGCUUUACACCUUACUUUAAGAGUUUGCAAAACAAUGUCCAAUACCUGCCAUUCAUGCAUUCGUUAAUUCGAUUAAGUACUGAGAACGUAUUUUGUGUCAUACAUCGAUUUGGGUGCUGGAUAUGAAACAGCCAAGAGAACAGGCAGAAAUCUCUGCCCUCCUGUAGUUUGCAGUCUCGUGGGGGAAAGACAGACAAACGGGAGAAUGUGUCAGAGGGUCUCCAUGGGGUGGAGAAAAAUAAGGCGGAGAAGGGGAAUAGGAAGUGUGAGAUAAGAGUGAGGCUCAAAUACAAGAGAAGGCCUCUAUGAGAAAGUAACAUUUAAAGCCUGAAGAAAUUGAGGGAGCAAGCCGUGUGGAUGUCUGGGGAAGAACUGCGCCGAGCAUGAGGAAUAGCAAGUGCAAAGGCUGGGGUAGGAGUGUGUCCAAAAUAGUCAAGACAGAGCGAGUGUGAGGUUGGAGUAGAAUGGGUGAAGGGGAAAGUAACAGGAGAUGAAGCUGGAAAAAUGAUGAUGCUUAUGAUGCUUCUGGUCCCAAAACAAAGCAUUAUGGUUCUAUGAGGAUCUCCCGAAGAAAAGAUGUCAGGAAAGGUGCAGAGACCCUCCCCCACACACCACAUUGUUGUUCCAUCCUUCUCUGUGCCUUUGGGCAAGGACUCUCCGUUCUGUAGGGACCACCAGGUGGAAUUAAAGUCUACACUCCUCCAAGAGCUGAUCUUGGGGCGGCCCCACCUCCAUGCCCCUCUACAGCGUGCCAUUCUCAUAGAACACACUAGGACCUUUGUCCUCUGGAGCUGUUCAGUGCAGCAGCUCUGACCUCAUCCUUCUCCAGAAGCCUCCACCUUCUCUCCCCUCUCUCCUCCUGCGCUUUGUGUGUCCUGUUCUUCCACUUCGGUGACCUGUCUCCUCCCCUAAUCUGGCUCAGAGAGGGGUACCAGCUGCUGCUGCUGCUAUUGCUUCUUCUUCUGUUAAAGGUUUUUUAUUUUUUUCCAAUGACAAAGCUAUGCUCAUUCUGAAAACAUGAAAAAUAAAAAUGCUCAAAAAAUAAAACUCACUCUACAUUCAUUGCUAGGAGAGAACAGCCUGCUCCCAUUCCAGCCUUUUUAUCUAUAUCCACUUAACAUUAAACAUACAGAGUUUCUACUCUAUUUAGUGAUUGUCACCUGCACUUUAAACUUAAUGGUUCUUUAUGAGCAUUUUACUGGGUAGUUGUUCUACAAUAACAUUACUGGAACUGUUUGGGUUUCCCUUGACCCUCUUAAAAAUUACUGAGAACCCUGAAGAGCUUUUGUUUUAUAGGUUACAUCUAUCAAUAUUUGCUUUAUUAGAAAUAAAAACUGAGAAAAAGUAAAUAUUUAUUAAUUUAUUUUAAAAAUGUUAACAUGGAAAGAAAUUAUAUUACAUAAAUAAUGUAUUUUAGAAAAAUAAUUAUACUUUCCAAACAAAAAUAAUUAGUGGGAAGAGUGGCAUUGUUUUACAGUUUUGCACGGCUCUUGAAUGUCUGGUGUAAUAGAAGAUAGCUGGUUUCAUGCCUCCUCCUGCAUUCAGUCGGUCACUAUAUGUUGUUUUGUUUGAAGUAUGUGAAGAAAAUUCAGCCUUAUGUAGAUAUGUAUAUGGGAAAGAAUAGAGGAUUUUAAUCGCCUUUUCAGAUAAUUACAGAUGUUCUUUUUUCAUACCACACCAAAAUGCAAGGAGUCGUUUCUUAAAGGUUAAGUGCAAUGUAGAACCUGAAAAAAAAAAUCAAUAAACUUUUGAACUCAGUUAAUACAUUAAAAUCCAUUGGCCUAUUUUAUAUCUUGACUGGGUCCUUUAGCUAUGCAUAAUUUGGUAAAAUCAUACAUUGAUCAUUUGGGAAAUAUCAGUUCACUGAUUUAUACGGAUCUUACAAAUGUAAACACAUUUCAUUGUACAAUAUUAGAAAAUCACAUCUAUUAAUAGCACCACUGAUCUCAUCUGAAGGUUUUUGAGUAUUGGGAAGUUGUCAAGCUCUUGGUGGCAGAUACGAGUUUCCCAAAAUUGUAAUUUCUGCUUGAAAGCUCAAGUUUAUCACUGACAACAUAAUGUCACAGUGAUUUUCCUAGAAAUGACAGGUUCAUUUCAUUCAUUUUCAAGAAAAUGUCUACCACAAACAAAGGACCACAUUAUGACUUUCAUGGGCCAUAGGCAUUUUUGCCUGCAUGGGCCCUUUCCUCCACUAAAAAGACAACUGCACUGGUAUAAAGACAAAUAAAUUAAUAUUGUAUAUUAAAACUGUGCCUCGUGGAGUAUUCAGCCCUACGUACACCCAAUUCUGAAUACCCAUAGUUUGUCUGUCAGGUGUAGCUUCUCCAUUAGAAACAGUACUCAGGCCCCCAGGACUUUAUGGGCCC
This 2727-nucleotide long non-coding RNA is filed under the name Homo sapiens (human). RNAcentral's name for it is "non-protein coding lnc-SLC25A48-8:3". The record is from RNAcentral. Lineage: Eukaryota; Metazoa; Chordata; Mammalia; Primates; Hominidae.